AUCUAUACUCUAUGGUUUUCUGAGUCGCGCUGGUCGCUCUAGCCGCCCGUAACUUUUACUUCCAGGCGUGUUUAUGGCAGCUCUGAGGUGAGUGAGUUGCGCUCAGCGCGUGAAGAGGAUCUGAGUUUUUGCGACGCCGCCCUCGCGACCCGCAUGUUCGAGGAGCCUGAGUGGGCCGAGGCGGCCCCAGCAGUCAUGGGCCUCAGUCCCGUAACCUCACAGCCUGCGCCAGCGGCAGCUGCACAGAUAAAGGGCUCCAGACACCGUCAGCUCUUGGCCACCCUACGAGUUCUGGAAGCAGCAUCUCUUUCUCAGCAAUCCAUCAGCCUCCCCAGCAGUGACUCUGAGGAGGAGGUAGAAAAAAAGAAGAAACAUCCCAAAAAGUCCUCAUUUGCUAAUACCUCUGCCAAAAUAGGGAAGAAAAGGAAAAAAUGUCAAAAUCUGGGCCCACCUCAAGGUGACUGUGAGGACCACAAAGUAGAAAAAAAGAAAUGCUGCAAACAAGCUCUUCUGGGUAGUGACUCUGCCAAAGAAGAGAAAAGAAAGAAAAAAUGCUGGAAACAGGCUCUUUCAACUCCUGCCCAGCACCUAGACAGUGUCGACCAAACAGGUCUCAAAUCCCAGAAGAGUAGUAUUACAAAUGAUUCACCCAAGCCAAACCCUGAGUCCAAUUUCUCUAAGCCUCCCAAUACCUUAACCCGGAAGCAGUGGCGGAACCGGCAGAAGAACAAGCGGAGACACAAGAACAAAUUUCGGCCACUCCAGGCAUCACAGAAGAUUUCUGCUGAGGCCUCCAAGGUCUCUACAGAAGAGUCAGAGGUGCCUCCUGCCCCCAAACCAGACAACCAUGAGGCUCGAGCAGAGGCCCUUCGAGCCCGCAUGGCACAACGGCUGGAUGGGGCCCGAUUUCGCUACCUUAAUGAGCAGCUGUACUCAGGGCCUAGCAGUGCUGCGCAACGGCUGUUCCAGGAAGACCCUGAGGCUUUUCUCCUCUACCAUCGUGGCUUCCAAAGCCAAGUGAAGAAGUGGCCACUACAGCCAGUAGACCGCAUCGUCAGGGAUCUUCGCCAGCGGCCUGCAUCACUGAUAGUAGCUGACUUUGGCUGUGGAGAUUGCCGCCUAGCUUCAAGUAUCCGGAACCCUGUACACUGCUUUGACUUGGCCUCACUGGACCCCAGAGUCACUGUGUGUGACAUGGCCCAGGUGCCUCUGGAGGAUGAGUCUGUGGAUGUGGCUGUGUUUUGUCUUUCCCUGAUGGGAACCAACAUCAGGGAUUUCCUGGAGGAAGCAAAUCGAGUGCUGAAGCCAGGGGGUCUCCUGAAAGUGGCUGAGGUCAGUAGCCGCUUUGAGGAUGUUCGGACCUUUCUAGGGGCUGUGACCAAGCUGGGCUUCAAGGUCAUCUCCAAGGACUUGACCAACAGCCACUUCUUCUUGUUUGAUUUUGAAAAGACAGGCCCCCCUCGGGUAGGGCCCAAGGCUCAACUUGCAGGCCUGAAGCUUCAACCAUGUCUCUACAAGCGAAGGUGACCUCUGAACAUCCCCGGAAACAGGAGCCAGGAUGCAGACUCCAGGCUGUAAAUCUGAAGACUGUGUCUAGUCAGGCUAUGAGCCAGGACCUGCCUUUCCUCUGUCCCAAGGACAAGGUCCCCCAUGGCUUCCUGAAGCACAUGUUUUAAAGUAACAGAAUGAUGACGGAGAAGUGUGCAUAGAUGAAGUAUUACUUGGAGAAGAGGUGCUUGACUGGGAAUAUCUACAUUGGAUUUUGAACAAAAAUCGCACCACCGGUCCCCCACAGUUGUAUCAUAUGGUUUCCUGACCGGGAAUGGCAGAUGAGAGACUCCUGGGGCUUUCCCAGUUUGAGUCCCCUGCCGUUCAGGACCAGAACCGGACUUCAUCCUGCAUUGAUUCCUCACUUUCUACACUCAGGAGCUGUAAACUUGUCACUGCUCGCUUGCAAACAACACUGACCCAGUUUACCACAGAGAUAACAGUGACACUUGGAGUUCUGAGACAGGUAAACCGACACAAGAUGGAGCUGCCUCCCCUCCCCCCGCCAUGGACCAUGCCUCAAAUGCAGCAGAAGACAUUGGGCAAGAGAGUGCCCUAUCCUGGCAUUCUUUGAGACGUUAGCCUAGGGCUACUGGACUGUCCUAGCCACCAGAGAGUGGGUAAGCUCUAGCCCUCACAGGAAAUGCCAACAGUGCCAGACUCAUCACUGACAGAUCUGCUUAAACUUGCUGCUGAAGACUGACGGGCUCAGGGCCAACAACAGUCCCCUUUAUGGGUGUCCAUCUCAGAGUCCAAGUCCCACUAAAAGUCUCAGGUAAGACAUUCUCUAUAUUUGUGGACAUAGAGGCCAUAUGUACAGAGUUCUUCCUGAGUUUUUAGGCUGCUAUAUUAAGUCCUCAACCUCUAGCAGGUAUUAAAGGUCAACCUAUGCCAUUUACAAACAGGGCCUAUUUUGUGCAGGUCCCAGACUGCUUCUUCCCAAUCCACCCAGUGGUGCCAAAUCUUCCCUCCACCACUCACUCUUCAGUCCUAAAUCUUAAAAAUGCUUUUUCUUCCUUUGUGUUUACACAGGCUGACUUAGACACACUGAGGCCUCAACAGCUUACACCUGUUAUCGCUAGUAAACCUCUCCUCAGUGAUAUAAGACCACCACCUUCCUUUCUUAUUCACCAAUUUCUCAGACAACCCUGGUCAAGACUGACAGAUAAAUUUUGUCUUCUCACUUUGUUUAUACUUUUUCAGGAUACAUAAUAGUCUUUCACACAACCAGGGAGACUGCUGAUAUACUUGCUAAAGUCCUAUUACAGAAAAUCAUUCCAAGGACUACAACCAGGUUACAGUGACCCAUACCUGAUAUUCUUGGCAACCUCAACAGUGAUCAAAGUUGCUAGACUGCCAUUCUGGUUUCACAUCACUCAGGCCCUAGAUCUAACCAUCCUUUUGCCUACUCAUCUCUGUCUUACCAAGGCCUCACAGCCACGACUCUCAGGCUGUCAUGUUUUGUUAUCCAGUUUGGUUUCUAAUUUCUUAUUCUUUUUAUAGCAGGACUCUUAACAGUAUUUCCUACAGACUCCAACAUCAUGCAUACCAGAGACAAGCCUUACCCUUUUAACUUUUACCCUUUCAGAUGGGGGAGUGGUAGUCACCUCUCAUAACUGCACUCCUUCUAACCCCACAUUUAUUUUUCAGAAUUCUACCUCACUGUGACAAUGAUCCUACCUUAACGUGGUCCUGAUAUAAUGACAUGUCUAAAUCAAAGGCACCUUUCCUUUUACCUCACCUGGGUCCUUAAAUAUGACAGUACCAUGCCUCCUCAUAACAUCUAGUCUCUUUGUUUUUCCAGUCUAACAUACAUAUGUUAGACUGGCAUUCACCAGUGAAGUUGUCCUGGCUAAAACACCUGGCACCAGCUUCUACCUGGGCAUCAACUGUCAUCCCGUCGACUCCCCUAGACCCCAGUACAGUGCCCUUUACAGCAGGAAUCAGUUAAAGAAAGAAAUCUUCACCCCUUUUCAUAAUCAUAAGAUGGGAUAUGAAAGAGUUUUGGCCCAGACAGGACACUGUAGCUGGUAAAGCCUCAGGUGGAACCAAGGAGCUCCAUCUCCCCCACCUCUAGGAAUUUACCUCUGGUGCCAAACAAGUGCCAAUGGGCUACCUAUGCAUCACUAAUGCCCCUUAGGUUCCACCCCAAACCUAGACUACUUAUAUGCCCCCACUCCACAUGUUCCACAGAGAGAUCGCUGACCCCAGGGGGAGAUGUCAUGCCCCAGAGGAUCGGGGGUGUCUCUCCCCACAUUCUCAAAAUAAAGGUCAUUUAUAUUUCAUACUUCUUAUCUUUUCAGCCGCCAUUGGUCCCCACAGUUCUAUCACACAUCACACAAGUUAAAUACUAAUUUUGAUUGUGACCCACAAAAAUCCACUUAAUAUCUGCCAGGCAUGAUGUGCACACCUAUAAUCCCAACACUUGGGAGGCUGAAACAAGAGGAUUGCUGCAAGUUUGAGGCCCAGCCUCAACUGCAUAACAAGACCCUAACUCAAAAGAAAACUAAACAAGAAUACCUUCAGACCAACAUGGUAGUAUAUGCCUAUAAUCCUAGCACUCUAGGAAACUGCGACAGAAUCAAGUAACUCAGCAAGAACCUGUCUCAAAAUAAAAGACAGAGCUAGAGAUGUAGCUCCAUGGAAAGACCUGAGUUCAAUAUCCAACAUUACCACUACCACCAGAAAAAAAGCCUUACUACAGGUGUGGUACAUAUCUGUAAUAUCAGAAUUUGGGAGGCUGAAACAGGAGACUGGAAAGCCUGAGAUCAGCCUAACAUACAUAGUUAGACUCUGUCUCCAAAAAGAAAAAUAAAACAAAACAAAAAAAAGACUUGAUAACUAGAUCCUUGGGCCAGGGAUUAUGGCUCAAUAGCACAGCACCUGCCUGGCAAGCAUGAGGUUGAGAGUUUGAUUUCCAGUACCAAAAACAAAAAUAGAUCCUUUUUGUUUCUUUUGGUUUCUUGAAUCUUAUGAUCCAAGAUGUGUUCUUGAUUAAGCAAGGCACCCUACAUGUUGCUAGAUUUCUUGGGAUUGUCAUAGAUUCCCAAAGACUGUACCUUUCUUUUUGGUUUCACUUUAAGAGUCCCUAUGUUAGUAGUACUCUUUGUAUAAAUAUGUUCUGUUAUUCUCUAUAAGGUGAAAGUCCAAUCUAAAAUAUUUUUUUUAAAUUUUAUUUUAUUUUAUUUUUGUCUUUUUCAUUUUUAUCGGUACCGGGGAUCGAACUCACGACCACCUGCUUGCAAGGCAGGUGCUUAUGCCACUGAGCUAAAUCCCCAGCCCCUCAAUCUAAAAUAUUAAUACUUUAAAUCCUUCCUCAUUUUUCCUCUAUCGCAGCAACUUGUUAGCAGCUAAUCCAGUUCCAAGCUGCUCUCUCUUCAGCUCAGGGCUAGAGGAACAUGGUCUCUCAUUCUUUAACCUUCUGUGUUGGCUCUAGAUUAGAAUGAGAGAGAUCAUAUUAGAGAAAAAAAAGACUACACUUAGGUGAUUAUUGUGUCACCAAUAUGUCACUGAGACAAGCAUUCAAAGACUGACGAACAUUUAAAUUCCCCUUAUGUAGUGUACUGGGGCUCUCUGAGCUCCCCAUGGGGACUUGUGCAGUAACCAACUUCGAUUGCCUGCAAGUGGUAUGUAGCCUCCAUUACUUCUCUGUUCCUAAUGGUAUCCACAAUCAUCUAGUGCUAAAGUGCCUCACCUAGCACUCCAGGGAAUGGUCCCUAAACAUACUCAAAACUGCCUUUCAAGGAACCCAUGGCAAACUUAAUGCAAAUUUGUCCUGCCAAACUGAAAGUACAGCUCAGCCAGACCCAGAGAAGGGUUUUUCUCUUUGCCCUGAUGCCUGUCUCUAUGCUCACAUGGCUCCAAAUUGGUCCCUCUUGUAUCCCCCAUAAUGCAUUUGGCAAUACUUCCCAGCUUCCUUCAUAAGUGUGGACAUGUGAGUCUAGUAGAUAGUAAUGAAACUUCAAGACUUGGGCCAUUAAAUUUCCUUAUUAUAGUUUCCCACGCUAUAUCCAUUUUGGCCAAUUUGAGGCUUUUGAGUAUGUGACCUUGAGAGCUUAAAGGUAGAAGGAGCCAGGAUCCACAAGCAGGCUUAAGAGACUUAUCCACUAAUUAGGAAUACCUGAUUUUGGCUUCAUGUGAGUGGGAUAUAAGUUGUUUUCCUUUCCUUCCUUUCUUGCUUGCUUUCUUUUUUCUUCCUUCCUUUGUCUUCUUUCUUCCUUUUUUUUUUUUUUUUUUUUUUUUUUUUUGUCUUUGAGACAGAAUCUCACUAUGCUGGUUUGAACUCACUUUGUAGUCCAGGCUGUUCUUGAACUCCCAAGCUAUCCUGCUACCUCAGCCUCCCAGGUGCUAGGAUUAUAGCUAUACUGGAUUAUAGCUACAUUCUUUGCCCUUUCCCUCUCCUUUUUUUUUGGUCAGACAGAGUCUUCCUAAGUCACUAACUUAAGGCUUGGGUUGAACUUUUUUUUUUUUUAUCGGUACCGGGGAUCAAACUCACGACCAUGUGCUUGCAAGGCAGGUGCUUAUGCCACUGAGCUAAAUCCCCAGCCCAAGGCUUGGGUUGAACUUAUGAACCUCCUGCCACAACUUCCACACCACUGAGAUAUCACUGAGAGUAUGGUCAUGAAUCACCACAUCUAGCUUAUCUAAUUACUUUUACCCCAUUAAUGAAGCAAGUAAUAGGUUUAUUUUCUUAUAUGAAAUGAACCUUGAGUUCUGGGAAGAAAAUUUAGUUUGUUCUUACCCACUUUAUAUAUUGCUGAAAUCAGCUCGAUAUUUUAUAUAGGACUUUUGUGUCUAUGCUCAUCAGUUUAAGUAUUUUGCUGCAAAUUAUUCUCAUGUAACAAUGCCUUAAGAUUUAUGUUGCUAUAUAUACCUAUAACCCUGUAAUUCACUUUCCCUUUUCUCCAAAUAUUCUAAGAACUUCCCAUCUUACUUACAGUACGAAGUCCUUACUGUAACCUACAGGGCCUUUAUUAUCUGUUACUUCUCUGACCUUGUCAGUAAUAUUCACCUCCUUGGGACAGUAUUAAUCAACCCAACAUGUCUAUAUGGAGAAGGCCAAGAGAGAAAGACGCUGUAAUACCUAAAUUUCAAUAGUCUUGAAAGUCAUGAACUUAAUGAUUCCAAAAUCUAGGAAUUUCAUUAUCACAUUGCUGAGAAAAACCAGGUGUGGUGGCACAUGCUGGUAAUCUUAGAACUUGGAGGCUGAAGUAAGAGGAUUGUCACAAGUUUAAGGCCAACCUGAACUGCAUGAUGAGACUUAUUUUGUUUUUUUUUUGUUCUUUUUGAGACAGGGUCUCACUAUGCAGUUCAGGCUGGCCUUAAACUCACUUUGUAGCCCAGGCUAGCCUCAAAUUUUCAGCCUUCCAAGUGCUGGGAUUACAGGUGUAAGCCACAAUGCCCUUUCACUGAGACCUUGUUUUAAAAAAAAAAUUGCUGAGAAAAUGUUGUAUAAGGGAUAAAUAUAGCUUUCUUUCAGCCAGAACCUCCAUCCUUCAUUAAUUUUCCAAAAUAAUGAACACAAUGAGGAAGAGGAGGGGAACCCAGUGUAUAUUCUCUAGGCCUUUUAGCAAACAUAGAAUUGUUCCUUUGGCCACAUACAUGGGAAUCUACAAAAAGGGUGACAUUGUAGACAUCAAGGGAAUGGGUACUGUGCAAAAAGGAAUGCCACAUAAAUGUCUCCAUGGAAAAACUGGAGGAGUCUUCAGUAUUACCCAAUAUGCUGUUGGCACUGGUGUGAACAAGCAAGUUAAGGGCAAGAUACUUGUUAAGAGGAUUAAUGUGUGUAUUGAGCAUACUAAACACUCAAAGAGUCGCAAUAGCUUCCUGAAAUAUGUCAAGAAUAAUAAGGAAAAUCAGGAGGCCAAAGAGAAAGGUACCUGAGUUCAACUAAAGCGCCAGACGGGGGGGCCCCCCCCUCCCCCACAGAGAAAGGCAUUUUCUGAGAACCAAUGGGAAGGAGCCUGAGUUGCUGGACCCUGUUCCCUAUGAAUUCAUGGCAUACUCUGCUGAUGGAGCUCUGCCAUUUGGUAACCUAAUUGGUGGCUAAGUGUUCUAGGCCCCACUUAACAAUAAAAAAAUCAUCCUGUGUUGUAAAGAUGGUUUUCUUAAUUGAACAGGUGUGGUGCCUUUACUUCAGAGACAAAUACUUGGAGCAGAUUUUCAUUCUACUUGGUUAAUUGUAUCAGGUCUUUACUCUUCAGUGUUUUUCUUGCUGAAAGAUAUUGUUGAGGUAUUCUGUAGGUGUGUAACCAAAUGGUCAAAUAUUUAUGAAAUAUUUCUUUUGGCUUGAAGAUCCUGUGAAUCACCAUGGGGAAAAGAUGUAUCAAAUUAAAAUGGAAGUCACUUCAGUUAGAUAAGUGGAAGUCCAUUUCAGUUAAAUAAAUUGUUUACAGAGAGAGAGAUAAAAAUAAGUGAAAACACUGAAGAAAAAGACACAUGUACUGGGAACAAGGAUGUGAUUAUAAGCAGACUUCUCAUCAAAAGCAAUGGGGAACAGAUGACAUUGGAAUAACAUAUUCAAAGUACUUUUAAAAAAUGGUUAAUCUAGAAUUCUACAUCAGGCAGAUUAGUAGUUUCCCAUACUCACACUGUAAGUGAAAGCAAAGACUUUUCAAGUUGCUGGAAGCUGGGGUAAUGAAACAAAAAACUUAUUAGUAACAGAUUUGAAUUAUGAAAUAGUGAGUUCUUUUGGCUAAGAAAAAUGAUACCAGAUGGUUACUUAGAUCCACAAAAAAGGCAACACCAGAAAUGAUAAAUAUCCACAUAAAUGUAAAAGUUUCUCUAAAUAUUUUAUUUCUUUAUAAGACAUGACUAGAGGGGGCUGGGGAUUUAGCUCAGCGGCAUAAGUGCCUGCCUUGCAAGCAGGCAGUCAUGAGUUUGAUCCUGGUACCGGUAAAAACGAAAAAGACAAAAGAAAAAAAAAAAAAAAAAAAAGAAGACAUGACUAGAAACUGGGCAUGCUGGCAUGCACCAAUAAUCCUAGCAGUUGGGAGACUGAGGCAGGAUGAUCACUACAAGUUCGAGACCACCCUGGGUUACAAAGUGGACUCAAGGCCAGCCUGAACUGUAUAGUGAGACCCUGUCUCAAAAAGACCAAAAAAAAAAAAGAAAGAAAAGAAAGUUCUCACCUUGCAGUUCAGGCUACCCUUAAACUUGUGACAAUCCUCUUGCCUCAGCUUCCCAAGUGCUGAGAUUACCCAUGCAUGCCACCACAACAGUCAGAAGUAGAAAACCUGAUAGCCUGCUAUCUACUGAAGAAAUAGAAUUAAAAGCCCCCCCCCCAAUUUCCCCAAAAACAAAACAGAAAAGUGACAUUACUGGCAAAUGCUGUCCACCAAGGAAAUCAAUCCUACACAAACUAUUUUAGAAAGCAAAAUAGGAGAGGGUACUUACCAACUUGGUUUGUGUGUGACCCUCUGAGAUAUAACACCAGGAGUGGAAUUGCUAGAACAUAAUAUAUUUAAUUAAUUUUACUAAACAAUGUCAGCACCCAACUCCUGCCCCCAGAGUAGCUUCACCACUGUACUCUACCAAUACUGCAAGAGUCUUGUUUUCUACUCUGUCUCCAACACUGGAUGUGACAAAGGCAAUGGAACACUACAGAGGUGAUGGAUUCUAGAGACAAAUAACUGGGUUUAAAGUUAUCAUUUUCUAUGUGACCUUGGAGAAUUUCUGAAUUUGUGUUUGUUUCUUUAGAGGAUAAUAAUAAUAUAUACUAGGAAUUUGUAGGUAUUAGUAGAUGAAAGUGGCACUUUUCUAUUUCAGGCAUUUCCCCAUUUGAUGUAAUUGCUGAAUGAAGAUUUCAAAUUAGAUUGAAACUUGCAUAAAGAAAUAUAUUUUAGAUAAGUAAAAGAACACAAGUCAAUGAGAAUUUUGGUAUUUAUUUAUGUAGAUAGUAUACAGAACAAGAUCACAAAUUUUCUCACAAAUGUGAACAUCUAAAACUUGUCAUCCCUGAUAUACUAAUUUUUCCCACAAAUUUCACCCUUAUUUUUUUCUCCACUGUAUAUUGGAAGAAGCUAGGCAUUUUUGUUUUUUUCCUCCUUCUUUUCAAAGUCUAUUUAUAUGUGUGGGCCACAGGGAGAAGAACAAGAAGCCAGCCCCUUCCUGUGAGUCAGCUCCUUGCACAGGCUGUGGGAGAACAACCAUAUUCCAGCCCAUUCCUGUGAGUCAGCAUCAUCCACAGGCCAUGAGGAGGACAACCAGAUGCCAACCCCUUCUGGGCUCGGGCUGAGAGACAAGAAGAGCCAAGGUCUUCCCCGCUCCCCUGGGUGACCAGCUGGUCCAGGGAAACACAGACUGAGAUGAUAGCUAUUAAAUGCAAUUUAAUGCUUGUAGUGUUUAACAAUGAAAUUGCAUUUCAUUGACUUUGCCUGCCUAAAGCCAGUAACCUGAUUAUGUAUUUUAGAGGAUAACAAUACGCAGUACAGCAUCUAUGGGGGAUCUCCUUCUGAAGGUGGUAGCCAUUGUUAAUUCCCUAUUAUCUUGUUUUGAAGUCCUAUAUCAUUUUCAUUGCUUUUGUUUGGUUUUAUUCUAUUUUGUCGUGUUUGGUUUUAUUAUAUCUGAUGGCAUGGGAAGUUAUUUCAAAGAUAAUAAGAUAUACUGUGGUAGCUAUUUUGGAUUUACUAUUAUCUUGUCUUGAAGUCCUGCAUUGUGUUCACUGUUUUGUUUUUAUUGGUUCUAUUCUGUUUUGUUUGAUUUUCCUAUGUCUGAUGGUAUGGGCAACUGUUUUGAAGAUGGCAAGAAUUAUGGUGGCCAUUGUUGAUUUCUUGUUAUUUUAAAAUCCUGUAUCACUUACUCUUUAGUUUUGAUUGGCUUUAUUCUGUUUUAUUUUGCUUGGUUUUAUUCUCUUUAAAAUUAAAAAUUAAGUGUAUUUUAUAUAUGCUUACAUACAUACAUACAUACAUACAUACAUAAUACAUGCAUACACACCAGGAACUGAACCCAGGCUCUUUGUACUGAACUACAUUCUAAGCCUUUUUUUUUUUUUUUUUUUUUUUUUUGUCUUUUUCUUUUUUAUCGGUACCAGGGAUCGAACUCACGACUGCCUGCUUUCAAGGCAGACGCUUAUGCCGCUGAGCUAAAUCCCCAGCCCCUCUAAGCCUUUUUUUAAAAAAUCAUUUUUUAAAACUCUGAAACAUGGUCUUACUAAAUUGCUAAAUUGUAAUCUGGGCUUAAUCCUUCUGUCUCACCCUCCCUGAGUGCUGAGAUUGCAGGCAUAUACCACCACACUAGGCUCCAAAAGGAUGUUUUUUAGUAUUCUACUAAUGUCUCUUUUGCAGGAACAGCCAUCCCUCUGGUUGGCCAGGUAAAACGUAAUGAAACACAGAACCUUUUGCCUCUCAGUGGUUAAGGAGAUCAGUGGCACUUCAGUCAGCUGAGUUACUGCAUGUAAAAAUAUUACAAAAAAUGAUUUUCAGUAUACACAUCUGUUUACAUUUCCUCCAGUUCUGGAGUUGCAACCCAGCCACACACAAAUGGAAUUAACGUGUGUGUGUGUGUGUGUGUGUGUCUGUGUGUGUGUAGUUCUGGGUUCAAUUCCCAGAACCUCUUACAUACUAGACAAGUGCUUUACUUCCGAACUAUAUCCCCUGCAAGGAAACUAAUUUGUACCUAAUAAAGUUUGGUGCUUGAGACCUUUA
RNA transcript from Cavia porcellus (domestic guinea pig), 11192 nucleotides. It is a transcript of the gene named ribosomal RNA processing 8, with no coding region annotated. The transcript has 10 exons. NCBI's taxonomy places the organism in Eukaryota, Metazoa, Chordata, Mammalia, Rodentia, Caviidae. The record is from RefSeq and is a predicted model, not a curated record.